CAGGUUACCGCCCUGGCUGCCACCCUCUCAGUAAACAAUCAGUAAGUGAAUAAAUGAUCAGAGGGGUGAAGACUCUGGAUGGUGCCUCCAAGAAAGAGGGCUGUUGAGAUAGUAAAAAAGACAAAACAAACCAGUACUUAACCCUGCUUCAAGUAGUUAUGAGGCCUACAGAGUAACCAAUAGCUACUAUGGUGUUGGAAUCAGAGGGGCCUGAUGCACAUCCCGGCUCUGUCCUUACUCCAGGUUUUGCCUUAGGUGAACCUCAAAGUCUCUGUGGAGCAAUAUAACAAAAGUCUGAAAAUGUUGAUGGAAGUUGAUUGGAGUCCUUCUCCAUGCAGCGGCUCGGGGACCCAGGCUCCCCUCCAUUUUGUGAUGAUCCCCUCUCAUCACACCCUGCCUCUUCCAUGCCUCGGACCACAAGCGACAUAUCACUUCUAUUCAUGUCCUAUUCAUCAAAAUGUACUCAUCUGCUUCCAAUUUAGCUCCGAGGGGGGCUGGGGAAUGUUUCCAUAUUUUAUCUCAGGAAGAAGGAGCAGUGUGGAGAGCAAGCAGCAUUGUCCCUGUCCUAGGCAUCUUAUGAACGUGAGGAACUGUUCUGGCUGAUGGGACACAGCGAUGAGUAAAACGGAGUCACUGUCCUCCAG
Molecule: long non-coding RNA, 644 nt
Organism: Nycticebus coucang (slow loris)
Lineage: Eukaryota; Metazoa; Chordata; Mammalia; Primates; Lorisidae
Exons: 3
Source: RefSeq, a predicted model, not a curated record